GAUCGGGCCGGUGUUCGAUCGAGCCUGUGUCCGAUCGGGAAAUUUUAUCGUGUCCGAUCGGUAAUGUGCGCAAUCGAGACUUAUUCAGUCAAGCCUGAAGCGGGGAGCACACACUUUUGCAUAAGCGCAUAACCAUAAGUAUAAGGAAAUUGAUUGGUUCAUUUUCUUAUGCAUACAUUUGUGGACCAAUCAAUUUCUUUAUGUUUAUGGUUAUGCGCUUAUGCAAAAGUGUGUGUUCCCUGCUUGAGAAUCCAUAUGUGAACAAUUAUCGCCGUGAGGACUGUAAAGCAAACAUAUGUAAAUAAAUUAGCAGAGUCAAGUCAAACCUUGCCCAAUAUGAAUUCUACAUAUAUUAUUGCGAUCUCAAAUAAUCAUAAUAUUGUCAUCCGUGAUUUGGGUAAUAUUAUGAAGAUGGACCGCAAAGGAUCUCCCGGAAAGGAGACAAAGAAGAAUUCCCAUUUGAGAUAGUAUGUCGGUGUAAAUAGAUUUAAUUAUUGAGACUUUACAGUUUAAUCAUUGUUAAUUUACUUUGACAGGUUUGUAUCUAAUCAUUUAAAAUUUCUAAUUGAGAUAUAUUUUAAUUGAGAGGCAGAUUAUGUUUACUAUAUGAAUUAUUAAGGUGGGUGAUCAUAGGCAAGUCAGAAGAUGGAUGAGGGUGAUUGACAUAGCUAACAUUUUAAGCCAAUCAUCUUUGGAAGGUAGAGAUUCGUCUAGAUUAGGAAAGUUAUUUUUUUGCUUUCACCAUUAGGGUAGGAUUAAGAAAGCUGAAUUCGUGUUUCUGUUAACAGUCUCCGCAUGUGAUUUGGGAAUUGCAUACAAAACAUAAUCUUCUAGGGUGAAAGAGGGACUCUAUUGGAGAGAUAUGAAGAGAAAUGAGACCCGCAGAGUACUGCUGGAGGUUGUUUUCCAGCCAUAAGAGGCUUCUGAAUGCGAGACAUUGUGGUAUGCCAUAAUUUUUUUAUCUUUCUCUGUUUUUGAAAGAUCGGACAGAAAUUACAGGAGGCUUCAUGCUCCGCAGCAGAGUCUGGCAAUUUAUGUCUUUUGCAGUUUAUACACGACGGUUUUUCAGCUGUGUAUGGCUCUAACCUUACUGUGAAAAAAUACGAGCUUGCCAGCGUUAACUGCAUUUAGUUAAACUGCAUUCCUGUCCAGAAUUCGACAAAUCCUAGCAAUAUGGCCGAAUCUUUGACAUUUUUGGCAUCUCCUAACCUUUUCAAUAAAGGGAACAAGAUAGAGCCUUUUCCCCAUAUAGAUGAUACUAGGCAGUAUAGUGAUAGUCCUAAAACGAAUUAUGCAUCAAAAGGGGGCUGCCACAAGAUAUUCCAGUCCGGAGGAGGGCGGAUAUUCUUGAUAAUUUUCUCAGGGGUAUUGGGUACGGAUGAUAUCCAUUUAUCUCUAGGAAAGAUAAUAUUAGAUUUCUCAUUGAAGAUAUUACAAAACUUAUUUGCAGAGUUACUGUCAACAAAGGUGACCGUGAAUUUAUUCCUCCCUAUUGUUUUGAGGUCAUAGGCAGACAAGAAAUUCUCAAUAUAUUUGGUGAUACAGUUUUCGAAUGCUAUAAUACCGUAGGUGCCCAAAUUGGAUCUUUGACUUAGAGGAAAUAAGAGAAAAGAAUCAGAGAAAAUAAAAUCAAGAUCGUUAAUACCUAUGUUUGUGUUGUUGUUUGUUUUCUUGGACCUCAGAGUUUUGCACCUGAGUAAAGGAAGAAGGAUUGCAUGAGAUUUUUUCAAUAUGGACAAUGAAUGGGGAUUUAAUGUUUAAACUGUAUUUGUUUUGUAGUCGAGAGUCUUUUUUUUGGAGAGAAUCCAGUGAAGAUCUUUUAGGAGGCAGCGGACUUCUCAAUGCAGAAGACAGGCUCCUUUUGCGAUUCCUAUAGAUAAUUCCUAUAGAUAAUCUCUUGAACUUUUUCCGCAAUAUCCCCACUGUUACCAUAUUCAUCAUUAGACAAAUUUGAAGCAAUGUCUUGGAUGCGCUCUCAGGAGCUCCGACAGAUGAGAAAUCCAUAAUUAGGAACGAUUGCACGUUUUGCGCAAAAGACGUAAAAAUGAUACGUAAUAUGUGUUCAGGAAGGACAAUAUGGUCCAGACCACACUUACGUGGCGACGUAUAGAAUGGCACAAGGGGCCGAUAAAAGUAGAUUAUGCCGCACACAGGCAGCAAGCAGAGAUGAAACACUUUGGAUAGAACGAUGUUGGAGUUCAACUCAAAACUCGCGAAAUUAUUCGAUGAUGCAAACACCAAAGAAUCAACAACUCGGAGACGAAGUUCAUUCACUGGGGAAUAAACGGAAGUCCAAAUGUCAGUCUCUAAACCGCCCUCAGAUAAAAGAUAUAAUAGAGGGCGGGUGUCAGCUAAAAGAAUAUCAGUCAAUUAAAAAGAGAUGAAGUCUAAAGACCUAACUGUCCUUAUCUGUUAACGCAUGAGAGCGUACAAAGUCCGGACAUUAGCAUAGUAAAAACUAUUAUAAAGUUAUAUUUAAAAAAAAUUAAUACAGAUUUUUAAAAACCUAAUAAAUGUUUUGUUAUAACAGAAAAUUAAAUAAAAUUUAUUAAAAAACGUAUUUUGCAAUAUAUAAGUAGAUAAAAAUU
Long non-coding RNA from Cataglyphis hispanica, 2588 nucleotides. RefSeq lists it as uncharacterized. The transcript has 4 exons. The record is from RefSeq and is a predicted model, not a curated record. NCBI's taxonomy places the organism in Eukaryota, Metazoa, Arthropoda, Insecta, Hymenoptera, Formicidae.